AUUGAACGCUGGCGGCAGGCCUAACACAUGCAAGUCGAACGAGUGGCGGACGGGUGAGUAAUGUAUGGGAAACUGCCCGAUGGAGGGGGAUAACUACUGGAAACAGUAGCUAAUACCGCAUACCAUCGGAUGUGCCCAGAUGGGAUUAGCUAGUAGGUGGGUUAACGGCUCACCUUGGCGACGGUCCCUAGCGGGUCUGAGAGGAUGACCAGCCACACUGUACCAGAGCCACUGUCCCGACUCCUACGGGAGGCAGCAGUGGGGAAUAUUGCACAAUGGGCGCAAGCCUGAUGCAGCCAUACCGCGUGUAUGAAGAAGGCCUUCGGGUUGUAAAGUACUUUCAGCGAGGAGGCGUUACUCGCAGAAGAAGCACCGGCUAACUCCGUGCCAGUAGCCGCGGUAAUUC
RNAcentral lists this ribosomal RNA (406 nucleotides) under uncultured bacterium. RNAcentral's name for it is "partial 16S ribosomal RNA". It matches the Rfam family "Bacterial small subunit ribosomal RNA", at positions 30 to 526 of the family's 1533-position model. The record is from RNAcentral.